AUUGAACGCUGGCGGCAGGCCUAACACAUGCAAGUCGAACGGUAACAGGAAGCAGCUUGCUGCUUCGCUGUCGAGUGGCGGACGGGUGAGACAUGUCUGGGAAACUGCUUGAUGGAGGGGGAUAACUACUGGAAACGGUAGCUAAUACCGCAUAUCUUCUCAAGCCCAAAGAGGGGGAGCUUCGGGCCUCUUGCCAUCGGCUGUGCCCAGAUGGGAUUCGCUAGUAGGUGGGGUAACGGCUCACCUAGGCGACGAUCCCUAGCUGGUCUGAGAGGAUGACCAGCCACACUGGAACUGAGACACGGUCCAGACUCCUACGGGAGGCAGCAGUGGGGAAUAUUGCACAAUAGGCGCAAGCCUGAUGCAGCCAUGCCGGGUGUAUGAAGAAGGCCUUCGGGUUGUAAAGUACUUUCAGCGGGGAGAAAGGGAGUAAAGUUAAUACCUUUGCUCAUUGACGUUACCCGCAGAAGAGACACCGGCUAACACCGU
This 489-nucleotide ribosomal RNA is filed under the name uncultured bacterium. RNAcentral describes it as "partial 16S ribosomal RNA". It matches the Rfam family "Bacterial small subunit ribosomal RNA", at positions 30 to 506 of the family's 1533-position model. The record is from RNAcentral.